This 342-nucleotide ribosomal RNA is filed under the name uncultured Cellulomonas sp. Its description in RNAcentral is "bacterial SSU rRNA". It matches the Rfam family "Bacterial small subunit ribosomal RNA", at positions 1046 to 1382 of the family's 1533-position model. The record is from RNAcentral. Lineage: Bacteria; Bacillati; Actinomycetota; Actinomycetes; Micrococcales; Cellulomonadaceae.
UGGUUGUCGUCAGCUCGUGUCGUGAGAUGUUGGGUUAAGUCCCGCAACGAGCGCAACCCUCGUCCUAUGUUGCCAGCGGGUCAUGCCGGGACUCAGUAGGGAGACUGGCCGGGGUCAAACGUCGGAGGAAGGUGGGAUGACGUCAAAUCAUCAUGCCCCGUUAUGUCUUGGGCUUCACGCAUGCUACAAUGGCCGGUACAAAGGGCUGCGAUACCGCGAGGUGGAGCGAAUCCCAGAAAGCCGGUCUCAGUUCGGAUUGGGGUCUGCAACUCGACCCCAUGAAGUCGGAGUCGCUAGUAAUCGCAGAUCAGCAACGCUGCGGUGAAUACGUUCCCGGGCCUU